AACCACACAGCAUGUUGGAGGAGCAGGCCACCAAGGUGAAGAUGACAUGGGUGGUGAUCGUGGCGGGCAUGUCGACCAUGCUGGCCGCCGUGGCCACGGACCACUGGGCCGUGCUCAGCCCCCGAGUGGAAAAGCUCAACGCCACCUGCCAGGCCGUUCACUUUGGCCUCUGGAGGCUGUGCAAGAAAAACAUCUUCAUGGUGGAGGAGGACCCGCAGGGCAAAGGCUGCGGCCCCAUCGGCCUGCCCGGAGCCAAGAACUGCUCCUACUUCAAACACUUCACAUCAGGAGAAGAGGCGGAAGUUUUUGAAGUCAAGACCCAGAAGGAGUACAACAUCUCGGCGGCGGCCAUCGCCAUUUUCAGCCUGUUCUUCAUGAUCCUGGGGACCUUGUGCGUCAUCUGCUCCUUCGGGAAGGCCCGCGACUACCUGCUGAGGCCCGCCGGCAUGUUCUUCGCCUUUGCAGGCCUGUGCAUCGUCAUCUCGGUGGAAGUCAUGCGUCAGUCGGUCAAGCGGAUGAUCGCCAGUGACGAGACCAUCUGGAUCGAGUACUACUACUCGUGGUCCUUUGCGUGCGCUUGCGCCUCCUUCACCCUCCUCAUCCUUAGUGGCGUGGCCCUGCUCCUCAUCUCCAUGCCCCAAAUGCCCCGAAACCCCUGGGAGACCUGCAUGGACGCUGAGCCCGACACCUUGGAUUAGCUUCACGCCCGCUCACACGCACUGCAAGCUACAGUAGAGCUUUGAGAGAAAGAUCAAUUUAUUUUAUUUUAUUUUAUUUUAUUAUUGGGUCUGGAACAUAUUGAGCGCUAGUUUCAGUCCCUAUCCAUGUGGC
RNA transcript from Syngnathus acus (greater pipefish), 831 nucleotides. It is a transcript of the gene named calcium channel, voltage-dependent, gamma subunit 1b, with no coding region annotated. The transcript has 5 exons. The record is from RefSeq and is a predicted model, not a curated record. NCBI's taxonomy places the organism in Eukaryota, Metazoa, Chordata, Actinopteri, Syngnathiformes, Syngnathidae.